RNAcentral lists this ribosomal RNA (427 nucleotides) under uncultured Lysobacteraceae bacterium. Its description in RNAcentral is "bacterial SSU rRNA". It matches the Rfam family "Bacterial small subunit ribosomal RNA", at positions 355 to 774 of the family's 1533-position model. The record is from RNAcentral. Lineage: Bacteria; Pseudomonadati; Pseudomonadota; Gammaproteobacteria; Lysobacterales; Lysobacteraceae.
UGGGGAAUAUUGGACAAUGGGCGCAAGCCUGAUCCAGCAAUGCCGCGUGUGUGAAGAAGGCCUUCGGGUUGUAAAGCACUUUUAUCGGGAGCGAAAAGCGGAUGGUGAAUACCCAUCCGUCAUGACGGUACCCGAGGAAUAAGCACCGGCUAACUUCGUGCCAGCAGCCGCGGUAAUACGAAGGGUGCAAGCGUUAGUCGGAAUUACUGGGCGUAAAGCGUGCGUAGGCGGUUGGUUAAGUCGGAUGUGAAAGCCCUGGGCUCAACCUGGGAAUGGCACUCGAUACUGGCCAGCUGGAGUAAGGUAGAGGAUGGUGGAAUUCCCGGUGUAGCGGUGAGAUGCGUAGAGAUUCGGGAGGAACAUCUGUGGCGAAGCGGCCAUCUGGACCAUUACUGACGCUGAGGCACGAAAGCGUGGGGAGCAAACA